GAUGAACGCUGGCGGCGUGCCUAAUACAUGCAAGUCGAGCGAACGGACGAGAAGCUUGCUUUUCUGAUGUUAGCGGCGGACGGGUGAGUAACACGUGGAUAACCUACCUAUAAGACUGGGAUAACUUCGGGAAACCGUAGCUAAUACCGGAUAAUAUUUUGAACCGCAUGGUUCAAAAGUGAAAGACGGUCUUGCUGUCACUUAUAGAUGGAUCCGCUCUGCAUUAGCUAGUUGGUAAGGUAACGGCUUACCAAGGCAACGAUGCAUAGCCGACCUGAGAGGGUGAUCGGCCACACUGGAACUGAGACACGGUCCAGACGCCUACGGGAGGCAGCAGUAGGGAAUCGUCCGCAAUGGGCGAAAGCCUGACGGAGCAACGCCGCGUGAGUGAUGAAGGUCUUCGGAUCGUAAAACUCUGUUAUUAGGGAAGAACAUAUUUGUAAGUAACUGUGCACAUCUUGACGGUACCUAAUCAGAAAGCCACGGCUAACUACGUG
RNAcentral lists this ribosomal RNA (497 nucleotides) under uncultured bacterium. RNAcentral describes it as "partial 16S ribosomal RNA". It matches the Rfam family "Bacterial small subunit ribosomal RNA", at positions 28 to 507 of the family's 1533-position model. The record is from RNAcentral.